This 3868-nucleotide unclassified non-coding RNA is filed under the name Leishmania donovani. Its description in RNAcentral is "gene:LdHU3.31.4700(CDS-product:hypothetical_prote in_conserved)". The record is from RNAcentral. Lineage: Eukaryota; Euglenozoa; Kinetoplastea; Trypanosomatida; Trypanosomatidae.
UACUGAACAUGCACUACUUCUUCUUGGAGAAGCAGAGCCCGCUCACACAGCGUUGGCAAGUGCGGCAGGUGGCCUUUGACAGCAAGUACCGGUACCUCUACUACACAAAGUCAUUGAGCCGCGCGGAUAUUGAGGAGGUCAUGACACGCUGCCACGACGGCGACCCCAGCUCCGGUGCAUGUCCCAACUCCUCCAGCGGCACUUCGAGUCGAAAAGUCAAGUGGAGUGGGAAGGUCAAGGUGACGCAGCUGCGAUACGCAGCAGACGAGUACAUUGUCGCGCCUGGCAGCAGCGACUUUGACGAGCGCAUCUUACUCACCCUCAUCGUGGUCGGCUACGAGCGACCCUUGGGGAAGCACCGUAGCCGUGGAAAGGUGGCGAGCUCCGGUAACCACAGCAUCGGCGGAACGUCCGAGAAGAGUUUCUCCUUGUGGAGCUCCGUCUCGCGGCACUACAGCACAUCUCGCAUCAGCUCUGUGCGUCUCGGCGACAGUGACGGCGAUGCCGACGAGGAUGCCGCAUCGAAGACCACGGGUGUGAACCAGCCGCUGCUGUUGAACGCCGAGAACGAUGUGCCGGAGCCGGAGUCUCCGUCGGGGUUCCUGCACAUGCCGAGCUACCCGGUGAACGAGUCUCUCGACGACGACUUCGAGGAUGAGGACGAGAACAUGUUUCGGGACAUCGACCUCGUGCCGGACGACGAGGAGGACGAGGAGGAGACGUCCGUGGCGGCGUCGGAGGCGGAAACGGAGGAGGGCAGCGACGACUGCGACGCAGAUGAUGGCGAUGACGUGGCGUUCAACUCACCUCCGUCCACACCGACAGGCAGCACGCGGAGUAGCUACAGCUUCUUCAGUCGGCGCCAGCAAAGCACAAAAGGAGUUGGCAAGGCAAAGGACGAAAAGACGGUGCAGCUGCAGUUCCGCGCAGCCAACUACGAUGUAUUCCGCAUCGUCAGCCUGCGCGUUCGCCAGGCGCUGGUGCGCCACGGUCUGUGCGGCCCGCUGCACGCGGGGCUUCCACCCUACGACCCCCGCAACGGUAUCGCACUCGCAACUGUCCCGCUGCACCUGCGCCACGCCUUUCGCCGCCUUAACGACGUCGUCUUCUACUCGCUCCAGAUCGGCCACGUCGUGUACGUGCGGCAGCAGCGUGAGGUGCGCGGGAUAGAAGGGUACCUUUGCAUCACGCACGACUCCAUCCUGCUGCUGCAGCUGGAUGGCAAAUGCCCUCGCUGGCUGGACCUGGAGGACAUCGUCGGCGUGCAGUACGUGCUGCGCAGCAACCACUCCUUCAUCUCUAUCCGGGCCGCGGAGCCGUACCCGGAUUUUGUCUUCAUCCCUAUUAUACCGAGCUACCCGCCCAACUCCACCUUCAACUCGGAGGAGUGCGUGGAGGGGAUUGUGAGCAUGGUGCGGCGCCUGCUCAUGCAGCGCUUGCGCGCUGGUGAGGAGGUGGCGCUGGCCCCAAUCUCCAGCUGCCGUUUCUCUGUUCAAACUGCCGAGGACAUUGAGGAGUACGACAUUCUCUGCCAUAUCAGCGACCUCUCCAACACGUACACGGACGUGUUCAAGUAUAUUGCGCAGCAGCAGAGCACCGGUGCUGUACCUCUGCGCUGGCGCUGGGACAACUCCAAGACACCGAGCCACUUCACCUUCAAGAGGGACCUCUACCAUGCCUUGGAGCGCGAGGAGGGCGAGGACAGCGAGGACGACGACGAGGCCGCCCUUAGUCGCUCGCAGCGCCGUCCGUCUGUGGCUUCCGCCGCCGCAUCGCAUGCGCACAUGGUAGAGUCGCUGGUGCCGUCGCGCCAGCAGCAACAUCUCAGCACCGGCGGAGGUCUAGUUGCCGUACCCGUCUCUGCGCCCGCCAGUAGCGGCGCCAUCGGCGUACACGCAGCGGCGCGCAGCACGCCGUGCAUGACGCCCUCCUGUGCUAGCCAGAAGCCGUUGCGCUCAGCUCUACCACCACAGGACUUGUUGUACUCCAAUGCGAGUUUCAUGCCGGCCACCAUGACGCAGCUGAUGGCGCCGCCGUCGCGUGGCGCAGAACUGCGGGCGAAGAGAAAGUUGCUCGUCACCCGCACAGAUCGCCGCAAUGCCGGCGUUGCGGAGGCUGCAAGGAAUGCCACUGGACAUCAUCAGCCCCCUCUGUCGCGGCCUCCUCAGCCUGCAAGCGUGACUGCAGGAACGAAUCUUGGGCUGACGCAGGAAUCCUCAGCGGCUCCGGAUAUCACGCUCACCACGGCGCCGGUUUCCAGAACGCCUCCAGAGGAUGCCGCUCCGUCGGCGCUUCCGCCACGCCCCAACACUGGUGGUCGCGAGGCCGCCAUCGGCGUGCCACCUGCAUCACCAGGUCUGCCGCCACAAAGGGAUACUCAGCGUGCAUCGUCCACACCUGUAUCCACGCGACCCGCCUCCUCGAAACCGAACACCUACGGCCUCGUCCCCUCUCAGCACCACACAGACCCCGCGACUCUUGACUUCUGGUUCUCGACGGCGGCGCCUCCUGUUGCGCCGGUUGCCACCGCGCAGAAGGGUGUUCACCUAAGCGACAUCCACUCAUCCAUACACCAUGGACAGCCGGCAGCGCAGCAACAGCUGGCAACCCAACCGACCGGCGCGGCGUCUGGCGGGCACGAGCGCCUUGGUGUGGUGCCAUCAGCCAACCAGCGCGGCGUUUCUGCCGCACCGUCGGCUCAGGCGGUGAAAGUGGUCUGCGGCGCUCCUGGAAUUUUCGGCAGCAGCCUCACGUCAACGACAGCACCGGUUGGCGCUGUCUCUGCCCCGUACUCCUUUGCCUCCGCACCGAUCUCGGGCGGCGCUUUUUCCAGCGCCUUGCAACGGGCGCACUCGCCGUCUGCGGGCCACGGCGACAGCGCUACGAACGGCAGCCGCUCUCCCAAGGAGGUCACACACACGACUGAGAACAUGUCCAACGAACGGGCGGCUGACGAGGAUGAGGAGAGCGACGAGGACUUUGACAGCGAGGACAUGGAAUCCAUGCUGCAGCGUCCUGAGUCUCGCGCACCACCCGCUUCGGCAGGCACUACGACACCCGCUGCUGCCGCUGCAGGUGCGUCAGGUGAGGCAGCCUUGGACGCUGCCGGUGCCAUGGCUGCGGAGAUGAAGGACGGUGUUGUGAUGAACACCGACGGCGCGGCGUUUGUGCCCGUUGGCGGCGGUGUUGUAACACAGGUGAUGUUGACGGCGGAGAUGCUCCCCGGGUACGGCGGGCGUCGAGACGAGGACCACCGGAGUGAUGCAGCAUCUUCUCCCUCUCCGAGUCUGCAGGCCCGUCCUGAAAUGGUGGCCUUCAUCUCGCCGGUCGCCUUACCUCACUGAGAGGGGAGAAGGCACAACGGUCGUGGUCGAUGGCGCAUCUGAGACCCUCUUUGAGCUUCUCCUGAUGGGCUGAGAGUGAUGCCUCGGAAUGGUAUCUCGGCGCCUGUGGGCUGCAGCGCCUUCGCUGCUUUCUCUCUCGCUCAUGGUGACGCUCGCGUGAUCGCGAGCGAAAAUGGAAAGCGAAAGGAAAAGGAUAAAAAGCAGGCCAAAGGCGUGCGCUCAACUCGCGUGUCUUCACAGUGGAUUCUUCGCGGCGCCGGUCCAUCGCCAGCGUGGCAUUGCGAAGUCAUCUCCUCCUGUCUUUCUUAGUGUCCCCAUGCCGAGCACGCAAAGGGUUGUCGGAUAUCAGCCGUCACCGAGCGAUGGACGUGGUUUCUUCAGAGUCCGUGGGCCGCUGUUGUACUUGUUAUCUGCCCAUUGCUUUCUUCAUGGUUUUGCGAGGGAACAGAACGCGCUGGUACCCCCUCGCUUCUCUACUGUUACUGUUGUUGUCUGUGUCGCCUUUCGUUGUGAGAGGCUGCAAG